UUGUUCAUCUGAAGUUAGCAUUUCAUUAUUUUUUUUCCCAGAAAAUGCACCCAUUUUUCAAAUCCUAAAAAAUCAAAGAGAGAGAGAGAGAGAACUCUCACUCAUCCCAGCUGCUCAAAUCAUCGUUGCAACAUUCUGCCAAGACCGACCUUGGAACCCCAAUGUCGAGGAUGCCUCCCUUAUGAAGUGCCUGAACCUCACAUGCUAGAACCAGGGGCGAAGGAGAGCUGGGAUUAUCGUCACACUUUCGGCAAGAAAUUGGUAGAUUCGGCUGUUUGUAAGAGAAAACGCUAGUGCCCAGGUCUGGGAAACAUCAUAAUGUCAUAACAACAGUUGUAGAGACCGCUUAUUAGGUGCGUGCUUUUUACGUGAAUUAGCUCCUCUAAGCCUCAUAAUCCCAACAGAUGACGUGUAAUAGAGGAUAACCCUGCUAUUAAACCCCAUUCUGCAGACAAAGAAACUGAGGUCAGUAGGGUUGGGUGGUCUGCCAUGUGGCAAGCACAAGAUUGAAAGAUAAUUUUCUUUUGUAUUUUCUGCUACACGUCAUCCCCUUUCGAUGUUUGGGACGAUCGAGUAAGAAGAGGCGUUGAGUGGAGCGACUUCUCGGCCUUCAUGGAGUGGGAAGGGUCCUUUUUCACAACAGAGAGAAGAGUUUGAGCCUCAUGGGGAAGAACUACGAUGGAGAAGGCAGGGGGGACUUCUGAAACAGAUGCCCUCUAAGGCUCCGUGACCAAUGCAGUCCUUUCAGGGUCUAAGCAGCGCAGACUUUUCGAGACAGAAGCA
Molecule: long non-coding RNA, 783 nt
Filed under: Mustela putorius furo (domestic ferret)
Lineage: Eukaryota; Metazoa; Chordata; Mammalia; Carnivora; Mustelidae
Description: lncRNA (ENSMPUG00000026628.1)
Source: RNAcentral